GAGUUUGAUCCUGGCUCAGGAUGAACGCUGGCGGCGUGCUUAACACAUGCAAGUCGAACGGUGAAAGAGAGCUUGCUCUCUGGAUCAGUGGCGAACGGGUGAGUAACACGUGAGCAAUCUGCCCCUGACUCUGGGAUAAGCGCUGGAAACGGCGUCUAAUACCGGAUACGAGACGUGAAGGCAUCUUCAACGUCUGGAAAGAACUUUGGUCAGGGAUGAGCUCGCGGCCUAUCAGCUAGUUGGUGAGGUAAUGGCUCACCAAGGCGUCGACGGGUAGCCGGCCUGAGAGGGUGACCGGCCACACUGGGACUGAGACACGGCCCAGACUCCUACGGGAGGCAGCAGUGGGGAAUAUUGCACAAUGGGCGCAAGCCUGAUGCAGCAACGCCGCGUGAGGGACGACGGCCUUCGGGUUGUAAACCUCUUUUUAGCAAGGAAGAAGCGAAAGUGACGGUACUUGCAGAAAAAGCACCGGCUAACUACGUG
This 486-nucleotide ribosomal RNA is filed under the name uncultured Microbacterium sp. Its description in RNAcentral is "bacterial SSU rRNA". It matches the Rfam family "Bacterial small subunit ribosomal RNA", at positions 9 to 507 of the family's 1533-position model. The record is from RNAcentral. Lineage: Bacteria; Bacillati; Actinomycetota; Actinomycetes; Micrococcales; Microbacteriaceae.